Molecule: long non-coding RNA, 433 nt
Filed under: Chrysemys picta bellii (western painted turtle)
Lineage: Eukaryota; Metazoa; Chordata; Testudines; Emydidae
Description: lncRNA (ENSCPBG00000015920.1)
Source: RNAcentral
CAACUUCCUCUGGUGUGUGAGAGCCAGGAAUAGGUCGGCUUGAUUGCUUACUUCAGAAGAACGCGCUCUAUGCACUCUGCUCCUGAAGCUGUCGCCUGAUACAUAUAAGAACACCGUCUUCAUCUCUUUUGCUCUUGAUGUCACUACACUGGGGCCUUGGACAAGCAUGCUGGAUUUUGAUGUGACAAGAAAUAUCGAGAACAUGAACUCUUUGCUUCUCUGGUUUUGCUGGAUGAUUCCUUUGUCUCUAGAGGAGAAGAGAACUGGAGGUUUCACAACAAAAGACUAGAAUACUGCAAUUGAGAGGUUGCUCCAGACUCAACCAUAGUUCUUCUUCAGACUGGAAAUGAAAUGCAUUGGUAAAGGAGAUAGGUAGGAACAUGUCAAUUUUAAGUAUAAUAAAACUAAAUGUUUAUCUACUAGCUUGAAAGGC